CGAUAACGAACGAGACCUUAACCUGCUAAAUAGCCAGGCUAGCUUUGGCUGGUCGCCGGCUUCUUAGAGGGACUAUCGGCUCAAGCCGAUGGAAGUUUGAGGCAAUAACAGGUCUGUGAUGCCCUUAGAUGUUCUGGGCCGCACGCACGCUACACUGACAGAGCCAACGAGUUCAUCACCUUGGCCGGAAGGUCUGGGUAAUCUUGUUAAACUCUGUCGUGCUGGGGAUAGAGCAUUGCAAUUAUUGCUCUUCAACGAGGAAUGCCUAGUAAGCGCACGACAUCAGCAUGCGUUGAUUACGUCCCUGCCCUUUGCACACACCGCCCGUCGCUACUACCGAUUGAAUG
RNAcentral lists this ribosomal RNA (347 nucleotides) under uncultured fungus. RNAcentral's name for it is "SSU rRNA". It matches the Rfam family "Eukaryotic small subunit ribosomal RNA", at positions 1326 to 1695 of the family's 1831-position model. The record is from RNAcentral. Lineage: Eukaryota; Fungi.